CACACUUCCCAGCCAAUGUCUAAGAUCAAGUGCAUCACCUUUUCUUAUCACUUUAAUAUCUGACAUAUCCUCGUCUUGAAGAUUUUAUAUUAAAUGGAUUUGGAGGGCACCCAAUGCAUCAACCUGAAACUGCAGUGCUUCCAGGUACUGUGGCCGCAUC
RNAcentral lists this small nuclear RNA (160 nucleotides) under Nipponia nippon (crested ibis). RNAcentral's name for it is "U2 spliceosomal RNA". It matches the Rfam family "U2 spliceosomal RNA". From Rfam's summary of the family: U2 is a small nuclear RNA (snRNA) component of the spliceosome (involved in pre-mRNA splicing). The record is from Rfam by way of RNAcentral. Lineage: Eukaryota; Metazoa; Chordata; Aves; Pelecaniformes; Threskiornithidae.